Molecule: long non-coding RNA, 211 nt
Filed under: Elaeis guineensis (African oil palm)
Lineage: Eukaryota; Viridiplantae; Streptophyta; Magnoliopsida; Arecales; Arecaceae
Description: long non-coding RNA (EGUI_LNC055527)
Source: RNAcentral
CAUCGUUCAAAGAAAUUGAGACAAGAUCUUCAAUUGGCUCAUCCCGUUCUUCAGCAAGGUCAUCGUGGGUGUCCAAUCCAUCAAUCGGACAGGGGUCAGACUGACCAUUUCUUUGUAAGGCUAUGUUAUAGUAGUGUCUUGCCAGGAUUUGAUCUCCUCUGACCUCUUCGACCCCUUGGCUUGUAGAAAAUUUCAACUUCAAAUGGUAGGU